This 899-nucleotide ribosomal RNA is filed under the name uncultured bacterium. RNAcentral describes it as "bacterial SSU rRNA". It matches the Rfam family "Bacterial small subunit ribosomal RNA", at positions 28 to 916 of the family's 1533-position model. The record is from RNAcentral.
AUUGAACGCUGGCGGCAUGCUUAACACAUGCAAGUCGAACGGAAACAGCAAGAGCUUGCUCUUGGCUGUCGAGUGGCGGACGGGUGAGUAACGCGUGGGAAUCUACCCAGAAGCGGGGGACAAGCCAGGGAAACUUGGUCUAAUACCGCAUAAUCUCUUCGGAGUAAAGGUGGCCUCUAUUUAUAUGCUAUCGCUUUUGGAUGAGCCCGCGUUAGAUUAGCUAGUUGGUGGGGUAAAGGCCUACCAAGGCAACGAUCUAUAGCUGGUCUGAGAGGAUGAUCAGCCACAUCGGGACUGAGACACGGCCCGGACUCCUACGGGAGGCAGCAGUGGGGAAUAUUGGACAAUGGGCGCAAGCCUGAUCCAGCAAUGCCGCGUGUGUGAAGAAGGCCUGAGGGUUGUAAAGCACUUUCAAUUGUGAAAAAGGGUAUAAGCUUAAUACGCUUGUAUUUUGAUAUUAACUUUAGAAGAAGCACCGGCUAACUCUGUGCCAGCAGCCGCGGUAAUACAGAGGGUGCGAGCGUUAAUCGGAAUUACUGGGCGUAAAGCGCGCGUAGGCGGCUAAUUAAGUCAGAUGUGAAAUCCCUGGGCUCAACCUAGGAACUGCAUCUGAAACUGGUUAGCUAGAGUUUAGGAGAGGGGAGUAGAAUUUCGGGUGUAGCGGUGAAAUGCAUAGAGAUCCGAAGGAAUACCAGUGGCGAAGGCGACUCCCUGGCCUAGAACUGACGCUGAGGUGCGAAAGCGUGGGUAGCAAACGGGAUUAGAUACCCCGGUAGUCCACGCCGUAAACGAUGUCAACUAGCCGUUGGGGCCCUUGAGGUCUUAGUGGCGCAGCUAACGCAUUAAGUUGACCGCCUGGGGAGUACGGUCGCAAGACUAAAACUCAAAGGAAUUGACGG